GAAGCAGCAGACGAUGGCUCAAGAACUUGAGUUCCUGCCACCCACCUGGGAGACCCGGAGAGUUCUUGGCUCCUGGCUUCACUGACCCAGCCCUGGCUGUUGUAGCCAUUUGGGAAGUGAACAAGCAGAGGAAACACCACCACCAGCACCUUGGCUCCCCCAUCCAGCGAGGACAUUUCAUCAGUGUGGAUAAAGAACGUGCUGACUUCUUCUUGGAAAACAGAAGCAGAGGUGGGAAAGUUCUCAACUACCUGCUACAAUUUGAGCCACCUGCCUUGUCUUUCCAAUGGACACUUCAGUUACAGAAGACGGCCAUAAGAUGAAGAAGGAAGGUGGAAAGGAAGGAAAACAAGACACAGCAACCAAAUCACGACUAAGGAUUCCCCAAAGGAAUAUAUAAUCCUACAGAGAAUUAUUGCAUUUUCUUCAGUCUUCUGAGAAACAAAAAAGAUAAAACCAAACCAAACCAAACAAAAACCACUUUCAUUUUCCAACCUUCUUGGGAACUUUAAGAAAAAGUCAAUGAGAAUCUGUAGGAAUUUCAUGUAGAGUCUAUAAUAGGCAUGCCAGGAGUGAUGCUUGCAGAACAAUAGCUAAAGAGGGUAAAUAUUUUGCUAUCCCUAGUUUCCAGCAGUCACAGAACUUCAAAUCUCCGCCCAAUCACUAGAGUGCCAAUGAGUAUUACACAUUCAUGUUGACACAACUUUUCCUUAGCACACUUUAUCCAUACUCAUUGGUGACUCAGCACAAGUCCAUUAUCUGCUAAACCUUAAACAAUGCUGGCUACAGGGGGCAAUAAAACUCUGAGAACUUCAACUUCAGGCUUCCCUGAAUUUUUAAACAUUGUAUACUUUUAAGAAGUCUCUUCCCAAAUGGCAAUUCAUUUAGUUUACAUGUUACCACUUCUUUUUAAAUGCAUCUCCAGAUACCAAUUAUACUUAGGAAAUGAUAUUCACCUAAAAAUUUAAAAAUUCAAAUUCACUGAGAAGAAAUAAUAAAUUGAAAAGCUCUUUUUUGCCUGUUUAGUCAACAAACUGCUUCAGAAAAUACCAUCUCGGCAUUACAAUCAAUAAACACAGAAACCAUGACAUAACUUUUAAUCUUUAACUCCAAGGAUUGCUGAGCUUAUCACAGAUGUAUUAUGAAACAUGGCAAGAAGCAGUGCAACAAGAACAGGGUGAAAAAAAUUUAGUAUUUGAUCAUUUGACAUCCUCAGCCCAAAGCUACCAAACAGGGCUCCACCACCAGGUUCAGCCCCACCCAAUCCCCACACUCAAAGAUUUCAAAGACAAAUGGUUAAAACAUUCAAUACACACUCUUGAUCAACAGGCACUUGAACAAGGAAAGAAGAAACAAUCUUUACAAUCAUAACUUAUUGGUUACAAAAAUAAUAGAUUGAUUUUCUGGUAUGGAAGCAAAUUACAAAAUCAAAAUAUUUGUCUGUUCCUUACCUUGACAAUAUUCAAAGUUUCCCUUUUUCCGGCAGUCACCUAUUACUAAACUCAGUGCUCUCCAAGUGUUUCUUUUGACAGAUAUCAUUCUCCACCAAUCGCUCUGCUAAUUUCCUCUCCUUUUCUGACUGGGACAGAGAUUAUGUUCACCAGCCCAGAGAUCAAUCUUUUCUAUUGACAACAACAAAGGGAAAAAAAAUGCAUAUAUCACAACCAGUCUGAGGUAUCACACCCAUCUAUUUACAUGACAAUACUAGGCCAGCUUUGUUUCCUUUAAGAAACAGAUACAAGCUCUUCUAAAUUUUAGAAGCAUCCAAAACAAUCCCCAUUUUCUCAGUUCCUAUAAUGAAGUACUUUAAAGGACUCUUAAUUUUCCAUUCAUCUGACUCAGAGCUGGAUACCUUCUGAACCUGAGAAGUGUGUAUGUGUGUAUACACACACACACACACACACACAUACAUAUAUAUCAAUACUUUGAAAGAAUGUGCUAGAUUUUACCUGUUAUAAUAAAAAAAUUGAGUAAUCUGUUGGAUAUUAUAGGUACUUUAGAACAAACUUUA
This is a long non-coding RNA of Lepus europaeus (European hare), 2011 nucleotides long. RefSeq lists it as uncharacterized. The record is from RefSeq and is a predicted model, not a curated record. NCBI's taxonomy places the organism in Eukaryota, Metazoa, Chordata, Mammalia, Lagomorpha, Leporidae. The transcript is spliced from 3 exons.